CCUACGGGUGGCAGCAGUGGGGAAUAUUGCACAAUGGGGGAAACCCUGAUGCAGCGACGCCGCGUGAGUGAUGAAGGCUUUCUGUGUGUAAAGCUCUAUCAGCAGGGAAGAAAAUGACGGUACCUGAUUAAGAAUCCCCGGCUACCUCCGUUCCAGCAGCGGCGGUAAUACGUAGGGGGCAGGCGUUAUCCGGAUUUACUGGGUGUAAUGGGAGCGUAGGCGGCUGAACAAGUCUGGAGUGAAAUGCCGGGGCUUAACCCCGGAAUUGCUUUGGAAACUGUGAAGCUAGAGUGCAGGAGAGGUAAGUGGAAUUCCUAGUGUAGCGGUGAAAUGCUUAGAUAUUAGGAGGAACACCAGUGGCGAAGGCGGCUUACUGAACUGUAACUGACGUUGAGGCUCGAAAGCGUGGGUAGCAAACAGGAUUAGAUACCCCAGUAGUC
Molecule: ribosomal RNA, 440 nt
Filed under: uncultured bacterium
Lineage: Bacteria
Description: partial 16S ribosomal RNA
Rfam family: Bacterial small subunit ribosomal RNA
Source: RNAcentral